GACGAACGCUGGCGGCGUGCUUAACACAUGCAAGUCGAACGGAAAGGCCCUGCUUUUGUGGGGUGCUCGAGUGGCGAACGGGUGAGUAACACGUGAGUAACCUGCCCUUGACUUUGGGAUAACUUCAGGAAACUGGGGCUAAUACCGGAUAGGAGCUCCUGCUGCAUGGUGGGGGUUGGAAAGUUUCGGCGGUUGGGGAUGGACUCGCGGCUUAUCAGCUUGUUGGUGGGGUAGUGGCUUACCAAGGCUUUGACGGGUAGCCGGCCUGAGAGGGUGACCGGCCACAUUGGGACUGAGAGACGGCCCAGACUCCUACGGGAGGCAGCAGUGGGGAAUAUUGCACAAGGGGCGGAAGCCUGAUGCAGCAACGCCGCGUGCGGGAUGACGGCCUUCGGGUUGUAAACCGCUUUCGCCUGUGACGAAGCGUGAGUGACUGUAAUGGGUAAAGAAGCACCGGCUAACUACG
Molecule: ribosomal RNA, 466 nt
Filed under: uncultured bacterium
Lineage: Bacteria
Description: partial 16S ribosomal RNA
Rfam family: Bacterial small subunit ribosomal RNA
Source: RNAcentral